GUACUACUCCCUCCAUCCAAAAAACCUUGUCCCUUAAAUGGAUGUAUCUAGCACCAAGUUAGCGCAAGAUACAUCCAUUUGAGAAACAAGCUUGGGCAAGAUUUUUCGGACGGAGGGAGUACUUC
This is a non-coding RNA of Triticum aestivum (bread wheat), 125 nucleotides long. Lineage: Eukaryota; Viridiplantae; Streptophyta; Magnoliopsida; Poales; Poaceae. The record is from Rfam.